This 1356-nucleotide ribosomal RNA is filed under the name uncultured bacterium. RNAcentral's name for it is "partial 16S ribosomal RNA". It matches the Rfam family "Bacterial small subunit ribosomal RNA", at positions 23 to 1367 of the family's 1533-position model. The record is from RNAcentral.
CUCAGGAUGAACGCUAGCGACAGGCUUAACACAUGCAAGUCGAGGGGCAGCGGGAAUUGUAGCAAUACGAUUUGCCGGCGACCGGCGCACGGGUGAGUAACACGUAUGCAACCUGCCCAUCGCAGGGGGAUAAGCGGGAGAAAUUCCGUCUAAUACCGCGUAAUAUCAUUUAAAGGCAUCUGUAGAUGAUCAAAGAAAUUCGGCGAUGGAUGGGCAUGCGGCGCAUUAGCUAGUCGGCGGGGUAACGGCCCACCGAGGCGACGAUGCGUAGGGGUUCUGAGAGGAAGGUCCCCCACACUGGUACUGAGACACGGACCAGACUCCUACGGGAGGCAGCAGUGAGGAAUAUUGGUCAAUGGGCGAGAGCCUGAACCAGCCAAGUCGCGUGAGGGACGACGGUCCUAUGGAUUGUAAACCUCUUUUGUCGGGGAGCAACGAGACCACGCGUGGCCGAAGAGAGAGUACCCGAAGAAAAAGCAUCGGCUAACUCCGUGCCAGCAGCCGCGGUAAUACGGAGGAUGCGAGCGUUAUCCGGAUUUAUUGGGUUUAAAGGGUGCGUAGGCGGAAGUUUAAGUCAGUGGUUAAACUGCGGGGCUCAACCCCGUAUCGCCAUUGAAACUGGAUUUCUCGAGUGGGUGAGAAGUACGCGGAAUGCGUGGUGUAGCGGUGAAAUGCUUAGAUAUCACGAAGAACUCCGAUUGCGAAGGCAGCGUACCAAUCCGUAAACUGACGGUGAUGCUCGAAAGUGUGGGUAUUAAACCAGGAUUAGAAUUCCCUUGGUAGUCCCACACGGUAAAACGAUGGAUACUCGCUGUUGGGGGAUAUAUUGUCAGCGGCCAAGGGAAAACGUUAAGUAUCCCCCCUGGGGGAGUACGCCGGCAACGGUGAAAACUCAAAGGAAUUGACGGGGGCCCGCACAAGCGGAGGAACAUGUGGUUUAAUUCGAUGAUACGCGAGGAACCUUACCCGGGCUUAAAUUGCACUGGACAGGCCAAGAGAUUGGCUCUUCUUCGGACCAGUGUGAAGGUGCUGCAUGGUUGUCGUCAGCUCGUGCCGUGAGGUGUCGGCUUAAGUGCCAUAACGAGCGCAACCCUUGCUUCCAGUUGCCAUCAGGUUAUGCUGGGGACUCUGGAAGGACUGCCAUCGUAAGAUGUGAGGAAGGUGGGGAUGACGUCAAAUCAGCACGGCCCUUACGUCCGGGGCUACACACGUGUUACAAUGGGGGGUACAGCAGGCUGCUACCGGGCGACCGGAUGCCAAUCCCAAAAACCCCUCUCAGUUCGGACUGGAGUCUGCAACCCGACUCCACGAAGCUGGAUUCGCUAGUAAUCGCGCAUCAGCCACGGCGCGGUGAAU